RNAcentral lists this ribosomal RNA (605 nucleotides) under Trichoderma cerinum. RNAcentral's name for it is "eukaryotic LSU rRNA". The stretch from base 199 to 352 matches the Rfam family "5.8S ribosomal RNA". Lineage: Eukaryota; Fungi; Ascomycota; Sordariomycetes; Hypocreales; Hypocreaceae. The record is from RNAcentral.
AGUUUACAACUCCCAAACCCAAUGUGAACGUUACCAAACUGUUGCCUCGGCGGGAACUCAUGCCCCGGGUGCGUCGCAGCCCCGGACCAAGGCGCCCGCCGGAGGACCAACCAAAACUCUUUUUGUAUACCCCCUCGCGGGUUUUUUAUAAUCUGAGCCUUCUCGGCGCCUCUCGUAGGCGUUUCGAAAAUGAAUCAAAACUUUCAACAACGGAUCUCUUGGUUCUGGCAUCGAUGAAGAACGCAGCGAAAUGCGAUAAGUAAUGUGAAUUGCAGAAUUCAGUGAAUCAUCGAAUCUUUGAACGCACAUUGCGCCCGCCAGUAUUCUGGCGGGCAUGCCUGUCCGAGCGUCAUUUCAACCCUCGAACCCCUCCGGGGGGUCGGCGUUGGGGAUCGGCCCUCCUCUUGCGGGGGCCGUCUCCGAAAUACAGUGGCGGUCUCGCCGCAGCCUCUCCUGCGCAGUAGUUUGCACACUCGCAUCGGGAGCGCGGCGCGUCCACAGCCGUUAAACACCCAACUUCUGAAAUGUUGACCUCGGAUCAGGUAGGAAUACCCGCUGAACUUAAGCAUAUCAAUAAGCGGAGGAAAAGAAACCAACCAAUUUUA